Non-coding RNA from Triticum aestivum (bread wheat), 135 nucleotides. NCBI's taxonomy places the organism in Eukaryota, Viridiplantae, Streptophyta, Magnoliopsida, Poales, Poaceae. The record is from Rfam.
UAUGUACACCCUCCGUCCCAAAAUUCUUGUUUUAGAUUUAUUUAAAUACGAAUGUAUCAAGUCAUAUUUUAAUAUUAAAUACAUUUGUAUCUAGACAAAUUUAAGACAAGAAUUAUGAAACGGAGGGAGUAUCUA